UGGGGAAUAUUGCACAAUGGGGGAAACCCUGAUGCAGCGACGCCGCGUGAACGAAGAAGGUAUUCGUAUCGUAAAGUUCUGUCCUAUGGGAAGAUAAUGACAGUACCAUAGAAGAAAGCUCCGGCUAAAUACGUGCCAGCAGCCGCGGUAAUACGUAUGGAGCGAGCGUUGUCCGGAAUUAUUGGGCGCAAAGGGUACGCAGGCGGUUUAAUAAGUCGAAUGUUAAAGAUCGGGGCUCAACCCCGCAAAGCAUUGGAAACUGAUAAACUUGAGUAGUGGAGAGGAAAGUGAAAUUCCUAGUGUAGUGAUGAAAUACGUAGAUAUUAGGAGGCAUGCCAGUAGCGAAAGCGACUUUCUGGACGCAAACUGACGCUGAGGUACGAAAGCGUGGGGAGCAAACAGG
Molecule: ribosomal RNA, 403 nt
Filed under: bacterium
Lineage: Bacteria
Description: partial 16S ribosomal RNA
Rfam family: Bacterial small subunit ribosomal RNA
Source: RNAcentral